CUAAGACAAUGAAGUAGCAUAGAGAGGAGAAGCUGGAGAAACUAUGGUGACUACAGGUCAGGCCACUUAGGUCACCUGCUUGAAAGCAAAGUGCGGAGUUGAGUUCAGCUGCAGAAGCAACGAGCAGGACCAGGUCAGGAUGAAGGGACUGGAGGACAGAUGGAUGGCAGUUCCUGGUGUGUGAGCAAGAAGACAGACAGAUGAGUGAGCUACAUGGAAGGAGACAUAGGACAUCAAGUUAUGAGAGCAGAAGGCCACAGAUCUUCUAACCCAGUAUCCUGUUGCCAUUGAUUGUAGACAGAGGAUUCUCUCCCAGUCUGGUCCCACAGCUGUUUGGACAAAAAUAAAUACACGAAGGCUUCUAUUAAUUAUUAAAAGUGUUUGACCAAUG
This is a long non-coding RNA of Mesocricetus auratus (golden hamster), 391 nucleotides long. RefSeq lists it as uncharacterized. The transcript is spliced from 2 exons. The record is from RefSeq and is a predicted model, not a curated record. Lineage: Eukaryota; Metazoa; Chordata; Mammalia; Rodentia; Cricetidae.